Molecule: ribosomal RNA, 529 nt
Filed under: uncultured bacterium
Lineage: Bacteria
Description: bacterial SSU rRNA
Rfam family: Bacterial small subunit ribosomal RNA
Source: RNAcentral
AAUAGAUACCCGGGUAGUCCAUGCCGUAAACGUUGGGAACUAGAUGUAGGGCCUGUUCCACGGGUUCUGUGUCGUAGCUAACGCAUUAAGUUCCCCGCCUGGGGAGUACGGCCGCAAGGCUAAAACUCAAAGGAAUUGACGGGGGCCCGCACAAGCGGCGGAGCAUGCGGAUUAAUUCGAUGCAACGCGAAGAACCUUACCAAGGCUUGACAUAUAGAAGAACACUGCAGAGAUGCAGGACUCUUUGGACACUUCUAUACAGGUGGUGCAUGGUUGUCGUCAGCUCGUGUCGUGAGAUGUUCGGUUAAGUCCGGCAACGAGCGCAACCCUCGUCCUAUGUUGCCAGCACGUGAUGGUGGGAACUCAUGGGAUACUGCCGUGGUCAACACGGAGGAAGGUGGGGAUGACGUCAAAUCAUCAUGCCCCUUAUGUCUUGGGCUUCACGCAUGCUACAAUGGCCGGUACAAAGGGCUGCGAUACCGUAAGGUGGAGCGAAUCCCAAAAAGCCGGUCUCAGUUCGGAUUGGGGU